RNAcentral lists this ribosomal RNA (253 nucleotides) under uncultured bacterium. Its description in RNAcentral is "partial 16S ribosomal RNA". It matches the Rfam family "Bacterial small subunit ribosomal RNA", at positions 524 to 776 of the family's 1533-position model. The record is from RNAcentral.
UACGGAGGGGGCUAGCGUUGUUCGGAAUUACUGGGCGUAAAGCGCACGUAGGCGGCUUUGUAAGUUAGAGGUGAAAGCCCAGGGCUCAACCCUGGAAUUGCCUUUAAGACUGCAUCGCUUGAACAUCGGAGAGGUAAGUGGAAUUCCGAGUGUAGAGGUGAAAUUCGUAGAUAUUCGGAAGAACACCAGUGGCGAAGGCGACUUACUGGACGAUUGUUGACGCUGAGGUGCGAAGGCGUGGGGAGCAAACAGG